RNAcentral lists this ribosomal RNA (747 nucleotides) under uncultured bacterium. RNAcentral's name for it is "bacterial SSU rRNA". It matches the Rfam family "Bacterial small subunit ribosomal RNA", at positions 125 to 871 of the family's 1533-position model. The record is from RNAcentral.
CCUGCCGUCUACUCUUGGCCAGCCUUCUGAAAGGAAGAUUAAUCCAGGAUGGGAUCAUGAGUUCACAUGUCCGCAUGAUUAAAGGUAUUUUCCGGUAGACGAUGGGGAUGCGUUCCAUUAGAUAGUAGGCGGGGUAACGGCCCACCUAGUCAACGAUGGAUAGGGGUUCUGAGAGGAAGGUCCCCCACAUUGGAACUGAGACACGGUCCAAACUCCUACGGGAGGCAGCAGUGAGGAAUAUUGGUCAAUGGGCGAUGGCCUGAACCAGCCAAGUAGCGUGAAGGAUGACUGCCCUAUGGGUUGUAAACUUCUUUUAUAAAGGAAUAAAGUCGGGUAUGCAUACCCGUUUGCAUGUACUUUAUGAAUAAGGAUCGGCUAACUCCGUGCCAGCAGCCGCGGUAAUACGGAGGAUCCGAGCGUUAUCCGGAUUUAUUGGGUUUAAAGGGAGCGUAGAUGGAUGUUUAAGUCAGUUGUGAAAGUUUGCGGCUCAACCGUAAAAUUGCAGUUGAUACUGGAUGUCUUGAGUGCAGUUGAGGCAGACGGAAUUCGUGGUGUAGCGGUGAAAUGCUUAGAUAUCACGAAGAACUCCGAUUGCGAAGGCAGCCUGCUAAGCUGCAACUGACAUUGAGGCUCGAAAGUGUGGGUAUCAAACAGGAUUAGAUACCCUGGUAGUCCACACGGUAAACGAUGAAUACUCGCUGUUUGCGAUAUACGGCAAGCGGCCAAGCGAAAGCGUUAAGUAUUCCA